UAGUGGCAGACGGGUGAGUAAUGUAUAGGAAUCUACCUAGUAGUACGGAAUAAUUGUUGGAAACGGCAACUAAUACCGUAUACGCCCUACGGGGGAAAAAUUUAUUGCUAUUAGAUGAGCCUAUAUUAGAUUAGCUAGUUGGUGGAGUAAUAGCCUACCAAGGCAAUGAUCUAUAGCUGAUCUGAGAGGAUGAUCAGCCACACUGGAACUGAGAUACGGUCCAGACUUCUACGGGAGGCAGCAGUGGGGAAUAUUGGACAAUGGGCGAAAGCCUGAUCCAGCCAUGUCGCAUGAGUGAAGAAGGCCUUUGGGUUGUAAAGCUCUUUUAGUGAGGAAGAUAAUGACGGUACUCACAGAAGAAGUCCUGGCUAACUCCGUGCCAGCAGCCGCGGUAAUACGGAGAGGGCUAGCGUUAUUCGGAAUUAUUGGGCGUAAAGGGCGCGUAGGCUGAUUAAUAAGUUAAAAGUGAAAUCCCGAGGCUUAACCUUGGAAUUGCUUUUAAAACUAUUAAUCUAGAGAUUGAAAGAGGAUAGAGGAAUUCCUGAUGUAGAGGUAAAAUUCGUAAAUAUUAGGAGGAACACCAGUGGCGAAGGCGUCUAUCUGGUUCAAAUCUGACGCUGAGGCGCGAAGGCGUGGGGAGCAAACAGGAUUAGAUACCCUGGUAGUCCACGCUGUAAACGAUGAAUGUUAAAUAUGGGAAGUUUACUUUCUGUAUUACAGCUAACGCGUUAAACAUUCCGCCUGGGGACUACGGUCGCAAGAUUAAAACUCAAAGGAAUUGACGGGGACCCGCACAAGCGGUGGAGCAUGUGGUUUAAUUCGAUGCAACGCGAAAAACCUUACCACUUCUUG
Molecule: ribosomal RNA, 852 nt
Filed under: Wolbachia endosymbiont of Hishimonoides sellatiformis
Lineage: Bacteria; Pseudomonadati; Pseudomonadota; Alphaproteobacteria; Rickettsiales; Anaplasmataceae
Also listed under: 3 other names
Description: bacterial SSU rRNA
Rfam family: Bacterial small subunit ribosomal RNA
Source: RNAcentral